CAGUAGUGGAUUUCCUUUUAUCAAGGUCUCCUGCAAAAUCUGAAUCCAUAUAGCCCCUGACAGUAAAUUCUGAUCCUCCAUAACAUAAUGCAACAUCUGAGGUUCCUCUGAUGUAUCUCAGAAUCCUCUUCACAGCUAUCCAAUGCUCUCCACUAGGAUUCGCCAUGUAUCGACUGACUGCUCCCACUGCUUGUGCAAUGUCUGGUGUUGUACAUAUUAUAGCGAACAUUAAACUUCCCACUGCUGAUGCAUAUGGUACUCGAGAUAUCUCCCUCCUCUCUGCUUCAUUGCUAGGACACAUACUUGAGGAUAAUUUGAAAUUAACAGGAACUGGGGUAGAAAUUGACUUACAAUCUUGCAUGUUGAAGCGUCAUAAGAUUUUCUUCAAGUAAUUCUUCUGUGAAAGCCAAAUCUUCCUAUUAUUUCUGUCUCGGUGAAUUUGCAUCCCUAGAAUCUUGUUUGUUGGUCCCAAGUCCUUCAUUUCAAACUCCCUAGCCAACUGUGCCUUCAAUUCUUGGAUUCGAUCUUUGUUGGGAUCUACUACCAACAUGUCAUCCACAUACAACACCAAAAUAAUAAAACCAUUGUCUUCAAACCUCUUGUAAUAUGCACAAUGGUCUGAACUGAGUCUGUUGUAUCCAAGGCUCAUGAUGAAGGAAUCAAAUCUCUUAUACCAACACCUCAGCGUCUGUUUGAGACCGUAUAAAGAUUUGUUCAACUUGCAAACCAAGUUCUCCUUUCUUGUUUCUGCAAAACCUUCUGGUUGGAGCAUAUAAAUUUCUUCUUCAAGUUCUCCAUGAAGAAAUGCAGUUUUAACAUCUAACUGCUCUAGAUGUAGGUCAAAUGUAGCACACAUUGCCAAGACUAUUCUGACUGUUGUGAGUCGAACCACCAGAGAAAAUAUCUCGUUGAAGUCAAUACCUUCUUUCUGAGCAUAUCCUUUCACCACCAGUCUUGCACGAUACCGCUCCACUUGCAAUCAAUCUCCACACCAUCCUUUCUGCUUCGCCAUAAUCAUGUUGCCUACGUUUCUGCUAGGCCACAAGAGGAUCUACUCCAGACAAACUUAUCAGUAUUUAUCGGCUUGGUCAAAACAUCUGCUAGGUUCUCUUUGGUAUGGAUUUUCUGCAAAUCCACACUUCCAUCUUCCACUACUUCACGAACGAAGUGAUACUGAACUCCUAUGUGCUUUGUCCUGGAAUGAAAAGCUGGAUUCCUUGCAAUGUGCAAGGCACUCUGACUGUCACAAAACACAGGAAUUUUCUGUUGUUUGUACCCGAGCUCCUCCAAUAAUCUUUGUAUCCAAAUAGCUUCCUUGCAAGCUUGUGUAGCUGCCAUGUACUCUGCUUCUGUUGUAGAUAAAGCCACAACGGUCUGCAGUUUCGAAACCCAGCUUACGGCUGCUCCCGCAAGUGCAAACACAUAACCAGUAGUGGAUUUCCUUUUAUCAAGGUCUCCUGCAAAAUCUGAAUCCACAUAGCCCCUGACAGUAAACUCUGAUCCUCCAUAACAUAAUGCAACAUCUGAGGUUCCUCUGAUGUAUCUCAGAAUCCUCUUCACAGCUAUCCAAUGCUCUCCACUAGGAUUCGCCAUGUAUCGACUGACUGCUCCCACUGCUUGUGCAAU
This 1626-nucleotide long non-coding RNA is filed under the name Citrus sinensis (sweet orange). RNAcentral's name for it is "long non-coding RNA (CSIN_LNC002695)". Lineage: Eukaryota; Viridiplantae; Streptophyta; Magnoliopsida; Sapindales; Rutaceae. The record is from RNAcentral.